AGAUGGCGACCGGCGCACGGUGAGUAACACGUAUCCAACCUGCCGAUAACUCGGGGAUAGCCUUUCGAAAGAAAGAUUAAUACCCGAUGGUAUAAUCAGACCGCAUGGUUUGAUUAUUAAAGAAUUUCGGUUAUCGAUGGGGAUGCGUUCCAUUAGGCAGUUGGUGAGGUAACGGCUCACCAAACCUUCGAUGGAUAGGGGUUCUGAGAGGAACGCCCCCCACAUUGGAACUGAGACACGGUCCAA
Molecule: ribosomal RNA, 246 nt
Filed under: uncultured bacterium
Lineage: Bacteria
Description: partial 16S ribosomal RNA
Rfam family: Bacterial small subunit ribosomal RNA
Source: RNAcentral